CUGAUUCCUGCCUUCUUCUCACGUCUUCCCAAACUUCAGGCCAAAGUUACACUCCUUUUUUUGUUGUUUUUGAAGAGCUAUUUUUGUUGUCCUGGCCUAUUUCAUAUGAUGCACCAGUCCACGCAACGGGAAUGUCCCUCAGCCAGCUGCUUCUCGGGACAGGCUUCAUCUUCUCUGCAGCGCUGCGGGCAAACCAGACAGGGCCAGACCGACGGGUCGAAGCGGAUCUAACAUGGGACGGGAAGGGUGCCUCUGGCCGAACCCCAGCCCGGAAAUCUUGGUUGGGCUUUAGCUCAGCCUCGCGGUGCAGUGGGGAAAACUGCUGAGAACAGGACGAUUCUGUGCAAAAACGGGAACUGUGUCGCCGAUGAAAAGUGCUUUCUCAGGGUAGGAUGUUUGUGUUUCCUUUGCAGAGGUGGACGCGGGAGCGUGCGCAGCACCUGCCCGGGGCAGGCCGGGUCUCUCUGCUCCCGGCGCUCCCGCUUUGUCCCGGCUCUGUUUGAAAUG
RNAcentral lists this long non-coding RNA (507 nucleotides) under Struthio camelus australis. RNAcentral describes it as "lncRNA (ENSSCUG00000012434.1)". The record is from RNAcentral. Lineage: Eukaryota; Metazoa; Chordata; Aves; Struthioniformes; Struthionidae.